GGCGUGGAGAUGAGAGCUUUGGCUAUUAUUUGCUAGCUGCUGUCUUCGGUUUGCUGCGGCAUUUGCGCGAGCAGUUGGUGCGCUGGUUCUCAGAUUUGGGUUGGGGAUAAUGCGGUCUGUUCUGACUGGUGGAUGGCGAGUCAGGUCUUGAGCGAGGGUCAGGGGAUGUCGUCCAACUUGAGGAUGAUGUCCAUGAUUGUGGAGUUCAUGGUGGGCCGUAUUGCUUGG
This 228-nucleotide long non-coding RNA is filed under the name Salvia miltiorrhiza (redroot sage). RNAcentral describes it as "long non-coding RNA (SMIL_LNC014280)". The record is from RNAcentral. Lineage: Eukaryota; Viridiplantae; Streptophyta; Magnoliopsida; Lamiales; Lamiaceae.